This 207-nucleotide ribosomal RNA is filed under the name uncultured bacterium. RNAcentral's name for it is "partial 16S ribosomal RNA". It matches the Rfam family "Bacterial small subunit ribosomal RNA", at positions 568 to 774 of the family's 1533-position model. The record is from RNAcentral.
UGCGUAGGUGGGCAGGUAAGUCAGUGGUGAAAUUCCCGAGCUUAACUUGGGAACUGCCGUUGAUACUAUCUGUCUUGAAUAUCGUGGAGGUAAGCGGAAUAUGUCAUGUAGCGGUGAAAUGCAUAGAGAUGACAUAGAACACCAAUUGCGAAGGCAGCUUGCUACACGGUAAUUGACACUGAGGCACGAAAGCGUGGGGAGCAAACA